Molecule: ribosomal RNA, 497 nt
Filed under: uncultured bacterium
Lineage: Bacteria
Description: partial 16S ribosomal RNA
Rfam family: Bacterial small subunit ribosomal RNA
Source: RNAcentral
GAUGAACGCUGGCGGCGUGCCUAAUACAUGCAAGUCGAGCGAACAGACGAGGAGCUUGCUCCUCUGACGUUAGCGGCGGACGGGUGAGUAACACGUGGAUAACCUACCUAUAAGACUGGGAUAACUUCGGGAAACCGGAGCUAAUACCGGAUAAUAUAUUGAACCGCAUGGUUCAAUAGUGAAAGACGGUUUUGCUGUCACUUAUAGAUGGAUCCGCGCCGCAUUAGCUAGUUGGUAAGGUAACGGCUUACCAAGGCAACGAUGCGUAGCCGACCUGAGAGGGUGAUCAGCCACACUGGAACUGAGACACGGUCCAGACUCCUACGGGAGGCAGCAGUAGGGAAUCUUCCACAAUGGGCGGAAGCCUGACGGAGCAACGCCGCGUGAGUGAUGAAGGUCUUCGGAUCGUAAAACUCUGUUAUUAGGGAAGAACAAAUGUGUAAGUAACUAUGCACGUCUUGACGGUACCUAAUCAGAAAGCCACGGCUAACUACGUG